RNAcentral lists this ribosomal RNA (458 nucleotides) under uncultured bacterium. Its description in RNAcentral is "partial 16S ribosomal RNA". It matches the Rfam family "Bacterial small subunit ribosomal RNA", at positions 338 to 795 of the family's 1533-position model. The record is from RNAcentral.
CCUACGGGUGGCAGCAGUGAGGAAUAUUGGUCAAUGGGCGAGAGCCUGAACCAGCGAAAUCGCGUGAGGGAGUACUGCCCUAUGGUUUGUAAACCUCUUUUUUCGGGGAGCAAAAGCCGGACGUGUCCGGCUGUGAGAGUGCCAGAAGAAAAAGCGUCGGCUAACACCGUGCCAGCAGCCGCGGUAAUACUGAGGAUGCGAGCGUUAUCCUGAUUUUUUGGUUUUAAAGGGUGCGUAGUCUGUUUUUUAAGUUAGUGGUUAGACGUCGGGGCUCCACCUUGACUUGCCAUUGAUAUUGGUAGACUCGAGUUCAGACGAGGUAGGCGGAAUAAGUUAAGUAGCGGUGAAAUGCUUAGAUAUAACGUAGAACACCGAUAGCGAAGGCAGCUUACCAGACCGCGACUGACGCUGAAGCACGAGAGCGUGGGUAGCGAACAGGAUUAGAUACCCCGGUAGUC